RNAcentral lists this ribosomal RNA (302 nucleotides) under uncultured bacterium. RNAcentral's name for it is "partial 16S ribosomal RNA". It matches the Rfam family "Bacterial small subunit ribosomal RNA", at positions 508 to 807 of the family's 1533-position model. The record is from RNAcentral.
GCAGCAGCCGCGGGAAUACGAGGGGGGCAAGCGUUGUUCGGAAUUAUUGGGCGUAAAGGGUGCGUAGGCGGCUUGACAAGUCUUGUGUGAAAUCUAUGGGCUCAACCCAUAGUCUGCACGGGAAACUGUCGGGCUUGAGAAUGGGAGAGGUGAGUGGAAUUUCCGGUGUAGCGGUGAAAUGCGUAGAUAUCGGAAGGAACACCUGUGGCGAAAGCGGCUCACUGGACCAUUUCGGACGCUGAUGCACGAAAGCUAGGGGAGCAAACAGGAUUAGAUACCCCCGUAGUCCCUGUCUCUUAUAC